CGUAUGGCGACCGGCGCACGGGUGAGUAACGCGUAUGCAACCUGCCCGAUACCGGGGGAUAGCCCAUGGAAACGUGGAUUAACACCCCAUAGUACUUUUAUCCUGCCUGGGAUGGGAGUUAAAUGUUCAAGGUAUCGGAUGGGCAUGCGUCCUAUUAGUUAGUUGGCGGGGUAACAGCCCACCAAGACGAUGAUAGGUAGGGGUUCUGAGAGGAAGGUCCCCCACAUUGGAACUGAGACACGGUCCAA
This 248-nucleotide ribosomal RNA is filed under the name uncultured bacterium. RNAcentral's name for it is "partial 16S ribosomal RNA". It matches the Rfam family "Bacterial small subunit ribosomal RNA", at positions 85 to 334 of the family's 1533-position model. The record is from RNAcentral.